Molecule: ribosomal RNA, 400 nt
Filed under: uncultured bacterium
Lineage: Bacteria
Description: bacterial SSU rRNA
Rfam family: Bacterial small subunit ribosomal RNA
Source: RNAcentral
GGGGAAUUUUGCACAAUGGGGGAAACCCUGAUGCAGCGACGCCGCGUGGGUGAUGAAGUCCUUCGGGAUGUAAAGCCCUUUCGACGGGAACGAUAAUGACGGUACCCGGAGAAGAAGCUGCGGCUAACUACGUGCCAGCAGCCGCGGUAAUACGUAGGCAGCAAGCGUUGUUCGGAGUUACUGGGCGUAAAGAGUAUGUAGGCGGUUGGGUAAGUUUGGUGUGAAAUCUCCCGGCUUAACUGGGAGGGUGCGCUAAAGACUGCCUGGCUCGAGUGUGGGAGAGGAAAGCGGAAUUCCUGGUGUAGCGGUGAAAUGCGUAGAUAUCAGGAGGAACACCUGCGGUGUAGACGGCUUUCUGGACCAUAACUGACGCUGAGAUACGAAAGCGUGGGUAGCAAAC